UCCCUUGCUUUUUGGUGUUCACUUACAUAUC
RNAcentral lists this non-coding RNA (31 nucleotides) under Mus musculus (house mouse). The record is from RNAcentral. Lineage: Eukaryota; Metazoa; Chordata; Mammalia; Rodentia; Muridae.